UGACGGUAGGUGGGGGUUCUGUAUAAACACAAACUCACUUCCUUGACAUCUUCCUUCACAAUAGCUCUGCUCAGCUCCACGAAGCGCAAUAACUAUGAAUGCCCUGACUUAAUGCUGUAUGGCCACUGCAGAUGUCGGAUUGACCAUGCAGAGCCUUUUACUUGCCUCUCUCUGUCUCUCUCGCUCUCUGUCUUUGUCUUUCACUCUCUCUCUCCUCUCUCGCACUCUCUCUCCUCUCAGCAUGCUGGUAGACAAGCUCAACAUAGCGCCUGAGGAGACGGAGUGGUGGAUCGUCAACCUCAUUCGCAACGCCAGACUAGACGCCAAGAUCGACUCCAAACUGCUCCACAGGUGUUACUGUUUAUUCAGACAAGAUACUGCAUGGUAUCAGGAUGUAAAAAAAGCAGACAUUGGGCCUGUUCGACAUUGCAGCAGACAGUGCCCGACUGACUGCCGACUGAUUGAUCUACAAAAUCCCCUUGCAUCAUAAGGUCAUGUGGUGAUGGGGAACACUGUGGUGUCGCCGUACCAGCAAGUGAUUGAGAACAAGAGCCUGUCGUCCAGGAGCCAGAUGCUGGCCAUGAACAUUGACCAGGUCGCAGUUGUAAAUGAGAACUUGUUCUCAACUGGCUUACCUGGUUAAAUAAAGGUGAAAUAAAAUAAAUCAAAAUAAAUAAAUUAAAAUUGAGAAGAAAGUCGCUACUAGCAACCGGAAUGAGUUACAACACCAACCCCAUUAAGUCACCCCAUAAUUAUAAAGUGUCCAGGGCUAUUGAAAUCCUUGGGCGGGCUGCCUAAGCGUUUUUUCGGGCCACCUACGUUUUUUAUUUAUUUAUUAUAAUAACAAGUUUUUAUCUCUUAGCUCCAUGGAGAUUGUUUUCUAGAAUUACAGGAAAUUGGCUUAAAAUUGCCAAAAUGUCUCUACAUCGCCAAGAUGGGGGGCCUCUGCAUAGUUGGUAAAUGUAUAAGGUUUAAGGACUUAAUGGUGCCUGGACUAGCUGGCGAGUGGCUAUUAGCAACGGUAUAGUUGUUUCAC
This is a long non-coding RNA of Coregonus clupeaformis (lake whitefish), 1036 nucleotides long. RefSeq lists it as uncharacterized. NCBI's taxonomy places the organism in Eukaryota, Metazoa, Chordata, Actinopteri, Salmoniformes, Salmonidae. The transcript is spliced from 3 exons. The record is from RefSeq and is a predicted model, not a curated record.